Molecule: ribosomal RNA, 614 nt
Filed under: Ampithoidae sp. 6 AM-2019
Lineage: Eukaryota; Metazoa; Arthropoda; Malacostraca; Amphipoda; Ampithoidae
Description: SSU rRNA
Rfam family: Eukaryotic small subunit ribosomal RNA
Source: RNAcentral
GAUCUGUCUGGUUAAUUCCGAUAACGAGCGAGACUCUCCCCUGCUAAGUUGGAUCUUGAUUCGUGAGUAAUGCGCCCCAGUGGUGUCUUCUCACGGCUGUGCGCGGUGUAGGAGGGUGCGCUCAUGUGCUUCACGGUGCGUGUGUGUUUCUCCUUCUCUCCCGCAUGCCUGAGAGCCCCUGGGUAGUGCACACUCCAAGUCCGCCGCUGAUGCUGUAAGUCUUCUUAGAGGGAUAAACGGCUCGGAAGCCGUCAGAGACUGAGAGCAAUAACAGGUCUGUGAUGCCCUUAGAUGCUCUGGGCCGCACGCGCGCUACAAUGCGGGCACAGCAGGUGUUUUCCCUUCUCCGAGAGGAGCGGGCAACCCUCUGAAAGCCCUUGGCGUGCUUGGGCCUGGAGCUUGCAAUUUUUCUCCACAAACGAGGAAUGCCUAGUAGCGGUGGGUCACUGAGCCCACCGUGACUCAGUCCCUGCCCUUUGUACACACCGCCCGUCGCUACUACCGAUUGGGUGUACCAGUGAGAGCCUUGGACUGGCGGCCGUUGCCUUUGGCACUCGGUUUCGACUGAAAGAGGUUCGAACUGGUGCACUUAGAGGAAGUAAUAAGUUGAAACA